This is a non-coding RNA of Echinostoma caproni, 45 nucleotides long. NCBI's taxonomy places the organism in Eukaryota, Metazoa, Platyhelminthes, Trematoda, Plagiorchiida, Echinostomatidae. The record is from Rfam.
GCACUGCUGACGAGUCCCAAACGGAACGAAACAGCUGUCCAGUGC